Molecule: ribosomal RNA, 425 nt
Filed under: uncultured bacterium
Lineage: Bacteria
Description: partial 16S ribosomal RNA
Rfam family: Bacterial small subunit ribosomal RNA
Source: RNAcentral
GUGGGGAAUAUUGGGCAAUGGGCGAAAGCCUGACCCAGCAACGCCGCGUGAAGGAAGAAGGUUUUCGGAUCGUAAACUUCUAUCCUUGGUGAAGAUAAUGACGGUAGCCAAGAAGGAAGCCCCGGCUAACUACGUGCCAGCAGCCGCGGUAAUACGUAGGGGGCAAGCGUUGUCCGGAAUGAUUGGGCGUAAAGGGCGCGUAGGCGGCCUGGUAAGUCUGGAGUGAAAGUCCUGCUUUUAAGGUGGGAAUUGCUUUGGAUACUGCUGGGCUUGAGUGCAGGAGAGGUAAGUGGAAUUCCCGGUGUAGCGGUGAAAUGCGUAGAGAUCGGGAGGAACACCAGUGGCGAAGGCGACUUACUGGACUGUAACUGACGCUGAGGCGCGAAAGUGUGGGGAGCAAACAGGAUUAGAUACCCGAGUAGUCC